This 291-nucleotide long non-coding RNA is filed under the name Capsicum annuum. RNAcentral describes it as "long non-coding RNA (CANN_LNC006777)". Lineage: Eukaryota; Viridiplantae; Streptophyta; Magnoliopsida; Solanales; Solanaceae. The record is from RNAcentral.
GGGCACCCACUUGAAUAGGACUGAGAUCCCUAGAAUCAAUCCCUAAGUUCCAGAACUAUAUUGCCAGUGUAGGUUCGAGAUAUCACCAAUUAGAUAGGACUGACAUACUCAGGGGUCACCCGCAAGCACAUUUAUAUGUAUAGGACUAAUCCCAAGAGUCACCCACUAGAUUGGGACAUACUCCAUAGCAGAUGUCUUUACUGGUGGUGCGGUACUGACACCCUUCAAUUCAGGGCAGAGAUUGGACCCCAGUCAGCUUAGCUCUAGGCAUGUUGGUUAGAUGAACACAUC